CACGUAGGGCGCGAGCGUGUCCGGAAUUAUUGGGCGUAAAGAGCUCGUAGGCGGCCUGUUGCGUCCGCUGUGAAAGCCCGGGGCUUAACCCCGGGUCUGCAGUGGAUACGGGCAGGCUAGAGGUAGGUAGGGGAGAAUGGAAUUCCCGGUGUAGCGGUGAAAUGCGCAGAUAUCAGGAGGAACACCGGUGGCGAAGGCGGUUCUCUGGGCCUUACCUGACGCUGAGGAGCGAAAGCGUGGGGAGCGAACAGG
Molecule: ribosomal RNA, 252 nt
Filed under: uncultured bacterium
Lineage: Bacteria
Description: partial 16S ribosomal RNA
Rfam family: Bacterial small subunit ribosomal RNA
Source: RNAcentral